AUCCAUCCAUCCAUCCAUCUAUCUAUCUAUCUAUCUAUCCAUCCAUCUAUCCAUCUAUCUAUCUAUCUAUCUAUCUAUCCAUCUAUCCAUCUAUCUAUGGGGUCUCAAAAUGGAGGAUUUGAAAAUGUGGUCCUUUGUUCCAAAGACCAAAGAGAACUCAGAUCCUUCACCUUGUUUACCGAAAUGUUGUUGGAAGAACUUCUCAGAUUAGAUAUUGUUGUUUCAAUUUGUUCUCUUUUAAAUGUUUCUUAAAUAUUCAGUAUGAUCUAUUUAAUGUUGCAUAAGAGUGAGUGUUGCCAACCUCUGACCGGUAGAACUCCAAAUCCUUCAACCUCUGCUAACUACCAAUACGGUUGUAAUUAUUAAUCAGAAUUCCAAAUUGAUUUGAAUUUUUCCUACUCACAGGAUGAACAUAUCAGCCUGUGAUCGUCUGAACAGCAGCCAAUCCAAAGCUUCUUUGUAUUUAAUAUUUAUUAUCAAGUUCAUGAAGUUGAGUGGAAUGAGAAAACGAAAAACUCCUAACGGUGGAUAUGUUGGAUUCCGCCCCGUCAGUCAGCAGUCGGCGGGUCGACUCUCUCCGCGGGUCGCUGCAGACUGAAACGGUAACUGAAACCACGACUGGAAGAAGAACCAGUCCAGCAUGUACGGCCGUCAUGUAAUCUGAGCUCUUAAUUUGAACAGUACAAAGCAAUAAAGUGGAUCAUUAAUAUGGCCCCCGCCCUCGCACAGUCUGUUCUUCUUCUCUGGCCCGUGUAGCCUGCGAUGGUUUUUCCAGUGUGACUGUGCGGCCAGCAGCACCUUUCAUCCCGCUCAUCUGCGCGUGUCUCGUCUGCCCACUCUUUCCCCUGCAGCCGUCCAAACGGCUCCGUGGAGAGCGUUCAGUGACGGGGCCCAGAUGAGGUGAGCCGCCCCGGGCUCCAGCACAUUCAUCCCAAAUGUUUUUAUCAGCUGCUAAAUGGGAUUCCUGCGCUCGGCUAAAUGACCUAAUAUAUAUCGUGCUGCGUCCGUCCUGCAGUGAAACACGAGCGCAGGGGUUUCUGUUUACAGCUGCCUCACCAAGAUGAGUAACGCAGUGUGAGAUUUUAUUGGUCCCGCCGGACACGUUGUCUUUUCCAUUGGCUGCUGCCCUCAGAGAUCAGAGGCUGCUUCCUCAAAGACUCAGAGUUAAAACACUUUUCAGACCUGCGUCGACAUCCGUCCCACAAGUGGACAGGUGUGAACGCACCUGAGACCCGAGACGCUGAGCGGUGGUCAAAUCCUCAUGAUCGCCCCCUGGUGUCUGGCUGCAGUAUAGGUCACAAGCCCCGCCCCCUCCAUGCUAGAAGAGGGGAUAUCAAAGUAGACGUUAAACAAAUGUUUCCAAAGAUGGUUUCUGUCAUUUGAGGUCAUUAUAGCGAGAUAAUGAGCGAGGCGCCCUGAGGUGAAGAUGUUUUCUGUCCCUCCCCUCCUCGACAACCUGAAAAAGAAACAACACAGAAAUAUGUAUCUAUGUAUUUGCGAUGGUGUGAGCUGUCUGACACGAUUUCCAUAUUCUACAAAUUUAACCGAUUUAGCCUCAGUUUCACUUCCAGGAAAUCUCCUCGCAUGGCCAAGCUGCAGCGGAUGAGCCAUGUGUCCCGAGGCUCAUCGGAUGACCAGCGAGGCAGAAACUCAUGAAGAAAAUCUAAACGUGUUAACGAAAUCUUCAAGUCGUUAAUGAAGGCGAACAUCCGUUUCCUGAAAUAAACGACCAGACAACAGAGGCGACUCUUCCAGGGAGGAAUCGGGGAAAUGGCUCAUGAAUAACUUGUUGUAAUUAAAGGGGAAAGCGGCUCUCGUCUUACGUAAGACGUCCUCACGAUCUGCCUCAUGUCACAGGACGACCGGACGUCUGCUGCUUCACAUGUUCACAGGAUGUGAAAGUAAAUACAAACUCCGUCAAGUGUCGUCCAGCCUGUGGAAAUGACGGCGUCCUCCUUCACCUGCCGCCAUUUUUAAUCACCUGGACACUGACGCCGGUGUGAACACAUCUGUGUUGUCCAGAAUACCUAAACUGUGUUUUAGACGUAUGAGAAGCAUUAGCUUCUGAAAACCAUGUUAGCAGUAAGAAAGAGUAAUGUGUUCCCAGAGGAUUGAGUUUCUGUAGGUUCCACUUCACCAUUCGUUGAGUGAAAAUCGUCAUCAUCUCAUUUCCUGAGCGGUAAAUGUCCCCGAGCGCCCGUCACGUCGCAGCGACCAGACGUGACGGGCGCUCGGUCCUCGGACGCCGACCUCCACCGCUAAUGGAGGCCACGGUGAAAAGAGCCGUGUCUGGUGGCUGCGACUGAACCUCCGUCUGUCGGCCCGCUGACAUUUACACACAGUCGCCAUGUGGACUGGAUUUAGCCUGAGCAGAUCUGAGUGAACGUUUCGGAGAGGAAGGAAACAUGGAGGGACCGACAGCGCCGAGUCGGUGACUCUGCUCUACGCUGCAGCCGCUGCACAUUCAGAGUCUCAACCCACCUACAUUUCUCUCGGUUCACACUGCUCACUGGGUGCGGACGCUGACAUUGUCCUGCAGGUGAUCAGGUGGAAUCCAAUCUCCUCGUUCCUUCAAUCCCGUCUUAUCUGCUUGUUUGUUGUUGGAGGCCCGCGGCAGGACCCGGUGCACCCGUGGCCGCUCGGCCCGCAGCCUGUUGUUGGUCCUAAGACCCGUGGGAGGCGAUCAGUGGCCCCGGCCGGUCCCACCCCGCCUCUCCACAUGGAUGUGUUGAUCCAGAUGUCAGCCAAACACCCGCAGUACAACAAAGAGAGCAGGACUUACCUCCAAUCCCUCGACCUGUUGACAAUAGCUGCCAGUGCUACUGUGGGAAUGUGCAGUGUUAUGGUGAGACCGUCCGGUUCCCCGAUCCAGGCCUCCAGCUGAUGCCGCUCCGCACUUUCAUCACAAGACGUUUAGAUUCAUUUUGUGUAAAAGGAGCAAAAAUGUGUCUUUAUGUAUUUUGUUCAGGCUUCACAUUCUGUCAUCUCGGAAUUACUUCCAAGAAAUCUGGAAAGCAUCAUCAUCAUCAUCAUGACGUCCACUGUGUAGCUGCUGGACCUUUUGAUCACGUCACUUGAUCUUCAUCUCAGAGCACUGAAGAUCAUGUGAUACGCUCGAAAGCUCCAGAACAGUUUCUUAAAGACCUAAUCUCGUUUCCUGAUGUGAAAUAGAUUGUGAUUUCAGAGGAAAUUUCUGUCAAAGAUCUGCUCCAGCUAAACCCAACUAUUAAUACAUUACUUAUUUACUUACUGGGAUUCAUUCCUUCAUUCGUUCAUAUGUGUUCUCCGAGAUACUUUAUAUGUCCAAGAUAUCUUUAAUUGCAGGUGAGCGAGUCAAAGGGAUAUUUUACCGGCAGCAAGACGUUUUUCUCGCUUUCUUCUUUGGUAAAGUCGCUCAGUCCAGGCUGGAACACUGACCACAUCACCAAGACCAGGCUCUAUCGCUACAUUGCUAACAUUAGCAUUCGCGGUAGUUUGUUUUCGAAUCUCUCAGAAACUUCAUGAGUUCCUUUUCUCACCACGUUCUGUCUCCAGAGGUCAAGACGACAUCGAUGUUGACUCUUGUUUUCUUCUCUCACAAACUACUUAGCAACCUCUGGUCUGGUGGUUGAGAUCUUGGCGAGCGACGUCAUCGCGGCCCCUUCAACAUGUGUAUUGAUUAUUGGCUGAUUCCAGUCGGCACCUGAUCGAUCGAGACGUCUCUGGGCGUUUCCCUGUGUGUGUGUGUUGGGUGAUCGGGGUGGUGGCCCUGUGGGAAUGUUUCUGCGUUGAUCUGUCCAAUCUGUGAUACACUGACUUACUGUCCUCGGAAGGGAACUCCGGGCCCUGAUCGGCCGGCUUUAAGGCUUAGCUCCUCUAAUGUGCUCCAGACCCGCCGGCCCUUCCCUCCAGAGAGGGGCCGCGAAACGCCCCAUCAGCACAUCCAGCGCCUGGCCGUCCUCCAGCGCCUUCACCCUCUGCACCUCCGGUUGUUUGCUCAGGAGUCCGGUGGGUCAGAGCGGUGUCGUCUCCGGCUGCCGAGGAGGGUUACACCAAUACGUGUGUUUGAUUACACUGCGCCGUAAUUAAAAGGAGACAUCAGCGAGUCCGUGUCGUCCUGUACGGUUUGAUUCGACGAGUGAUUGUUUCAUCAUCAAAUCAAUCUGAUGACUAUUUCCCGAUGAUUUGUUUUGUCAGAUGUCAGAUGUCAAGUGAUCCGUCACCUUCUGAUCUCAACAGCUGCUUCAUUGGUUCAUCUGAUGAUUAUUUCCUCAGUUAAUUGUUUGCUCUGUAAAAAUGAAAUCUGACAAAGUUGCUGAAUUGUAUUAUUUCUGUCAGUGAAGCGGGACGAGGUCUUGAGCUCGUGUUAAAGUGUCGGAUCGAAGGUUUUUUGAUUCCAUGAUGACGUCAGAGAACUGUUGUGUCUUCUCAGUGCUGUUCAGCGCCCUCCAGAGGCCGGAGGGGGAACAGGUUGAGUCCAGGAUGGUUCGUCCCGACGUGUCUGUUCUACAUGAACCGUC
This is a long non-coding RNA of Scophthalmus maximus (turbot), 4499 nucleotides long. RefSeq lists it as uncharacterized. The record is from RefSeq and is a predicted model, not a curated record. The transcript is spliced from 3 exons. NCBI's taxonomy places the organism in Eukaryota, Metazoa, Chordata, Actinopteri, Pleuronectiformes, Scophthalmidae.